GCGGGUGUGGCGGAAUUGGCAGACGCACUAGGAUGGAUCUAGCGCCUACGGCGUGGGGGGUUCAAGUCCCUUCACCCGCA
This 80-nucleotide transfer RNA is filed under the name Enterococcus faecalis. Its description in RNAcentral is "tRNA-Pro". It matches the Rfam family "tRNA". From Rfam's summary of the family: Transfer RNA (tRNA) molecules are approximately 80 nucleotides in length. Lineage: Bacteria; Bacillati; Bacillota; Bacilli; Lactobacillales; Enterococcaceae. The record is from RNAcentral.